RNAcentral lists this ribosomal RNA (465 nucleotides) under Vreelandella stevensii. RNAcentral's name for it is "partial 16S ribosomal RNA". It matches the Rfam family "Bacterial small subunit ribosomal RNA", at positions 338 to 795 of the family's 1533-position model. Lineage: Bacteria; Pseudomonadati; Pseudomonadota; Gammaproteobacteria; Oceanospirillales; Halomonadaceae. The record is from RNAcentral.
CCUAAGGGAGGCUGCAGUGGGGAAUAUUGGACAAUGGGGGCAACCCUGAUCCAGCCAUGCCGCGUGUGUGAAGAAGGCCCUCGGGUUGUAAAGCACUUUCAGUGAGGAAGAACGCCUGGUGGUUAAUACCCAUCAGGAAAGACAUCACUCACAGAAGAAGCACCGGCUAACUCCGUGCCAGCAGCCGCGGUAAUACGGAGGGUGCGAGCGUUAAUCGGAAUUACUGGGCGUAAAGCGCGCGUAGGUGGCUUGAUAAGCCGGUUGUGAAAGCACCGGGCUCAACCUGGGAACGGCAUCCGGAACUGUCAAGCUAGAGUGCAGGAGAGGAAGGUAGAAUUCCCGGUGUAGCGGUGAAAUGCGUAGAGAUCGGGAGGAAUACCAGUGGCGAAGGCGGCCUUCUGGACUGACACUGACACUGAGGUGCGAAAGCGUGGGUAGCAAACAGGAUUAGAUACCCUGGUAGUC